This is a non-coding RNA of Bos taurus (domestic cattle), 72 nucleotides long. The record is from Rfam. NCBI's taxonomy places the organism in Eukaryota, Metazoa, Chordata, Mammalia, Artiodactyla, Bovidae.
UCCCUGGUGGCUCACUAGGUAAAGAAUCCACCUGCAAUGUGGAAAACCUGGGUUCGAUCCCUGGGUUGGGAA